UAUAUGUGUGUGUGUGUGUAUGUGUGUGUGUGUUAUAUACACACACACAUACAUACACACACACAUAUAUA
Molecule: microRNA precursor, 71 nt
Filed under: Marmota monax (woodchuck)
Lineage: Eukaryota; Metazoa; Chordata; Mammalia; Rodentia; Sciuridae
Source: RNAcentral